UAAUACGGAGGGUGCAAGCGUUAAUCGGAAUUACUGGGCGUAAAGCGCACGCAGGCGGUCUGUCAAGUCGGAUGUGAAAUCCCCGGGCUCAACCUGAGAACUGCAUUCGAAACUGGCAGGCUAGAGUCUUGUAGAGGGGGGUAGAAUUCCAGGUGUAGCGGUGAAAUGCGUAGAGAUCUGGAGGAAUACCGGUGGCGAAGGCGGCCCCCUGGACAAAGACUGACGCUCAGGUGCGAAAGCGUGGGGAGCAAACAGGAUUAGAUACCCUGGUAGUCCACGCCGUAAACGAUGUCGAUUUGGAGGUUGUGCCCUUGAGGCGUGGCUUCCGGAGCUAACGCGUUAAAUCGACCGCCUGGGGAGUACGGCCGCAAGGUUAAA
RNAcentral lists this ribosomal RNA (378 nucleotides) under uncultured bacterium. RNAcentral describes it as "bacterial SSU rRNA". It matches the Rfam family "Bacterial small subunit ribosomal RNA", at positions 521 to 898 of the family's 1533-position model. The record is from RNAcentral.